This 419-nucleotide ribosomal RNA is filed under the name Locusta migratoria (migratory locust). RNAcentral's name for it is "partial 12S rRNA". Lineage: Eukaryota; Metazoa; Arthropoda; Insecta; Orthoptera; Acrididae. The record is from RNAcentral.
CUCAUAUUAAAAGAUAUAAAAUUUUAAUCAAUAACGAGAGUGACGGGCGAUGUGUACACACUUCAGAGCCAAUAUCAGUUAAAUUAAAUAAUUUAAAUUACUAUCAAAUCCACCUUCAUUAAAAUAUUUCAAAAUUAAAUCCAUAAUAAAAAAAAAUUAUUGUAACCCAUCAUACACUUAAUUAUAAGCUGCACCUUGACCUGAAAUAAAUUUUAAUAAAAAAACAAGAAAAUUUUUUCUCCAAAAAGAUUUUCUGAUUAACGGAGAUAUACAAACAAAUAAAUUAAGUAAAGUAAAUCGUGUACUAUCAAUCAUGAGAUAGGUUCCUCUGAAUGGAAUGAAAUACCGCCAAAUUCUUUGGGUUUAAAGAACUUAACUAAUAAUACCCAGGUAAAACAAAAUUUACAUUUAAAAUAAUA